Long non-coding RNA from Anastrepha ludens (Mexican fruit fly), 519 nucleotides. RefSeq lists it as uncharacterized. The transcript has 4 exons. Lineage: Eukaryota; Metazoa; Arthropoda; Insecta; Diptera; Tephritidae. The record is from RefSeq and is a predicted model, not a curated record.
AUCUACCGGCUGGUGAAUUUUCAUACACGUUUUUAGAACAGCGUUUUUGCAAAUAUAAUAGUGACCACCUUACAUACAAUACAUAAACUACAGUUAGACUUCACAGACGAGCAAGUGCAGCGGAAGAUGUGUGUUGAAGAGCUGGUUUUUAGAAACGAAGGCAAGUAUGCGCGUAUUUAUACCAUUUCAUAAAUGACAUUGAUCGUGCUGUGUAUGAUGGUGCAAAUACCUAGUAUCACGCUACCCGGUCUAGAACAAUAUGCUGUACGUAAAUGCAUGCGCAACACCUACACGAGCAAGUCCUCGCGCUUUACGUCUACAUUUACACGUUUUUGAUUUCUGCCCGAAUCAUCGCAAUUAUUAAAAGUGGAUUAUAUUAUCAAUAUAGAAAUUUUUCGAUGUAUUAGUUUUAGACUAUAUGAAUAUAUUUUCCUAACUAUACUAAUAAAAUAUUAAGGUAGACAAAUUUUAAACAAUAAACUAAUAAAUUUGUAAUUUUUUCAAUUUUAACUCUUCUAA